GAUGAACGCUGGCGGCGUGCCUAAUACAUGCAAGUCGAGCGAACAGACGAGGAUCUUGCUCCUCUGACGUUAGCGGCGGACGGGUGAGUAACACGUGGAUAACCUACCUCUAAGACUGGGAUAACUUCGGGAAACCGGAGCUAAUACCGGAUAAUAUAUUUAACCGCAUGGUUCAAUAGUGAAAGACGGUUUUGCUGUCACUUAUAGAUGGAUCCGCGCCGCAUUAGCUAGUUGGUAAGGUAACGGCUUACCAAGGCGACGAUGCGUAGCCGACCUGAGAGGGUGAUCGGCCACACUGGAACUGAGACACGGUCCAGACUCCUACGGGAGGCAGCAGUAGGGAAUCUUCCGAAAUGGGCGAAAGCCUGACGGAGCAACGCCGCGUGAGUGAUGAAGGUCUGCGGAUCGUAAAACGCUGUUAUUAGGGAAGAACAAAUGUGUAAGUAACGAUGCACGUCUUGACGGUACCUAAUCAGAAAGCCACGGCUAACUACGUG
Molecule: ribosomal RNA, 497 nt
Filed under: uncultured bacterium
Lineage: Bacteria
Description: partial 16S ribosomal RNA
Rfam family: Bacterial small subunit ribosomal RNA
Source: RNAcentral